This is a non-coding RNA of Helianthus annuus (common sunflower), 107 nucleotides long. NCBI's taxonomy places the organism in Eukaryota, Viridiplantae, Streptophyta, Magnoliopsida, Asterales, Asteraceae. The record is from Rfam.
ACUCUAUGAUUUGGACAUUUGCGUAUGAUCUCUUUAUACCGGUCCCAUGCUUUAAUGACUUAUUCCCCAUGUUGUUGAAGAAAAGUGAGGAUUGUGUUUCUGGGCUU